Pygoscelis adeliae (Adelie penguin) is the source of this 596-nucleotide long non-coding RNA. RefSeq lists it as uncharacterized. NCBI's taxonomy places the organism in Eukaryota, Metazoa, Chordata, Aves, Sphenisciformes, Spheniscidae. The transcript is spliced from 3 exons. The record is from RefSeq and is a predicted model, not a curated record.
GGUUUUAUCUCUCUCGGCCACAUUGCAGUAGUGUUCCGCUCUCCAUACUAAAUAGGAAACUGGACGUGAUGUGGAAUUAGAGCCUCCCCAGCUGAAGCCACCCAACACUUACUACAAAUAUAGCCGCGAUGCGUAGGCCACAAAAUGGCUCCACUCACUUUUCCCAAUGAAAAGCAAAUGGAUUUAGCAGUUUUAUCCCGGUGCGGGUGUCCUUCCUCUCUGUAAAGUCGUAAGUACCUUGAGGUGGGAGGAGUAAAUUCAGCCUGACACCGAGAGCGCUUUUGUUGAAACGGGAGAGACUUGCGGUGUCCCUACUUAAAUAUGACACAUACAGAUGGUGAGAUAUGGCCAAAAAAAAGAGGGGGGUUUUCUCUCGCGAUUCAGCCCAGCAGAAACAAACAAACAAAAAAAAAUUAUCCAAGGCAGAGGAGCAAGGAGGAUGGGGAUGAGACCCGGUGUGUGGCAGCUCUCUGCCCCAGGAAGCUCCUUAUUUAUAGGAAAAAACCAAGCGAGGGGGGUGGUGGGAGAAACAGCAUGGCGUUAGUCGCGAUAGCGCUCCCUGCCCUUGGCGCGAGGUGCCCUGUCGCGACAGUAUU